Molecule: ribosomal RNA, 836 nt
Filed under: uncultured archaeon
Lineage: Archaea
Description: bacterial SSU rRNA
Rfam family: Archaeal small subunit ribosomal RNA
Source: RNAcentral
GCGAGUCGAAUGUAGCAAUACAUGGCGUACUGCUCAGUAACACGUGGAUAACCUGCCCUUGAGACGGGGAUAAACCCGGGAAACUGGGUAUAAUACCCGAUAGAUCUCGGCUGCUGGAAUGCACCGAGUUCUAAAGCUCCGGCGCUCAAGGAUGGAUCUGCGGCCUAUCAGGUAGUAGUGGGUGUAGCGUACCUACUAGCCUACGACGGGUACGGGUUGUGAGAGCAAGAGCCCGGAGAUGGAUUCUGAGACACGAAUCCAGGCCCUACGGGGUGCAGCAGGCGCGAAAACUUUACAAUGCUGGAAACAGCGAUAAGGGGACCUCGAGUGCCAGGUUACAAAUCUGGCCGUCGUGAUGCCUAAAAAGCAUUGCAUAGCAAGGGCCGGGCAAGACCGGUGCCAGCUGCCGCGGUAACACCGGCGGCUCGAGUGGUAACCGUUAUUAUUGGGUCUAAAGGGUCUGUAGCCGGCCGGAUAAGUCUCUUGGGAAAUCUGGCAGCUUAACUGUCAGGCUUUCAGGAGAUACUGUCUGGCUCGAGGCCGGGAGAGGUGAGAGGUACUUCAGGGGUAGGGGUGAAAUCUUGUAAUCCUUGAAGGACCACCAGUGGCGAAGGCGUCUCACCAGAACGGACCUGACGGCAAGGGACGAAAGCUAGGGGCACGAACCGGAUUAGAUACCCGGGUAGUCCUAGCCGUAAACGAUACUCGCUAGGUGUCGGCCACGGUGCGACCGUUGUCGGUGCCGUAGGGAAGCCGUGAAGCGAGCCACCUGGGAAGUACGGCCGCAAGGCUGAAACUUAAAGGAAUUGGCGGGGGAGCACCACAACGGGUGGAGC